Molecule: non-coding RNA, 30 nt
Filed under: Rattus norvegicus (Norway rat)
Lineage: Eukaryota; Metazoa; Chordata; Mammalia; Rodentia; Muridae
Source: RNAcentral
UAACAAAGUGCCUCGCUUGCCUUUGCCGAC